GAUGAACGCUGGCGGCGUGCCUAUACAUGCAAGUCGAGCGAACGGACGAGAAGCUUGCUUCUCUGAUGUUAGCGGCGGACGGGUGAGUAACACGUGGAUAACCUACCUAUAAGACUGGGAUAACUUCGGGAAACCGGAGCUAAUACCGGAUAAUAUUUUGAACCGCAUGGUUCAAAAGUGAAAGACGGUCUUGCUGUCACUUAUAGAUGGAUCCGCGCUGCAUUAGCUAGUUGGUAAGGUAACGGCUUACCAAGGCAACGAUGCAUAGCCGACCUGAGAGGGUGAUCGGCCACACUGGAACUGAGACACGGUCCAGACUCCUACGGGAGGCAGCAGUAGGGAAUCUUCCGCAAUGGGCGAAAGCCUGACGGAGCAACGCCGCGUGAGUGAUGAAGGUCUUCGGAUCGUAAAACUCUGUUAUUAGGGAAGAACAUAUGUGUAAGUAACUGUGCACAUCUUGACGGUACCUAAUCAGAAAGCCACGGCUAACUACGUG
This 496-nucleotide ribosomal RNA is filed under the name uncultured bacterium. RNAcentral describes it as "partial 16S ribosomal RNA". It matches the Rfam family "Bacterial small subunit ribosomal RNA", at positions 28 to 507 of the family's 1533-position model. The record is from RNAcentral.